GACUCUGUAGCUCAAAGGUAAGAGCGCACCAUUCCAGCCAACGCCAUGUCCACCGGUGAGGUCCGAGGUUCGAAUCCCGGCAGGUCCA
Molecule: transfer RNA, 88 nt
Filed under: Serendipita vermifera MAFF 305830
Lineage: Eukaryota; Fungi; Basidiomycota; Agaricomycetes; Sebacinales; Serendipitaceae
Rfam family: tRNA
About the family: Transfer RNA (tRNA) molecules are approximately 80 nucleotides in length. Their secondary structure includes four short double-helical elements and three loops (D, anti-codon, and T loops).
Source: Rfam by way of RNAcentral